ACUGGCGGACGGGUGAGUAACGCGUGAGAAUCUGCCUUGGGGUCGGGGACAACCACUGGAAACGGUGGCUAAUACCGGAUAAGCCGAUUGGUGAAAGAUUUAUUGCCCGAAGAGGAGCUCGCGUCUGAUUAGCUAGUUGGUGAGGUAAGAGCUCACCAAGGCAGCGAUCAGUAGCUGGUCUGAGAGGACGAUCAGCCACACUGGGACUGAGACACGGCCCAGACUCCUACGGGAGGCAGCAGUGGGGAAUUUUCCGCAAUGGGCGAAAGCCUGACGGAGCAAGACCGCGUGAGGGAGGAAGGCUCUUGGGUUGUAAACCUCUUUUCUCAGGGAAAAAGCUCUGACGGUACCUGAGGAAUCAGCCUCGGCUAACUCCGUGCCAGCAGCCGCGGUAAUACGGAGGAGGCAAGCGUUAUCCGGAAUUAUUGGGCGUAAAGCGUCCGCAGGUGGCAAUUCAAGUCUGCUGUCAAAGCACGGGGCUUAACUCCGUUAAGGCAGUGGAAACUGAAUAGCUAGAGUGCCGUAGGGGUAGAGGGAAUUCCCGGUGUAGCGGUGAAAUGCGUAGAGAUCGGGAAGAACAUCGGUGGCGAAAGCGCUCUACUGGACGGCAACUGACACUCAGGGACGAAAGCUAGGGGAGCGAAUGGGAUUAGAUACCCC
This 660-nucleotide ribosomal RNA is filed under the name uncultured bacterium. RNAcentral describes it as "bacterial SSU rRNA". It matches the Rfam family "Bacterial small subunit ribosomal RNA", at positions 94 to 788 of the family's 1533-position model. The record is from RNAcentral.